Molecule: ribosomal RNA, 504 nt
Filed under: uncultured Sphingomonas sp.
Lineage: Bacteria; Pseudomonadati; Pseudomonadota; Alphaproteobacteria; Sphingomonadales; Sphingomonadaceae
Description: bacterial SSU rRNA
Rfam family: Bacterial small subunit ribosomal RNA
Source: RNAcentral
UAAAGCUCUUUUACCCGGGAUGAUAAUGACAGUACCGGGAGAAUAAGCUCCGGCUAACUCCGUGCCAGCAGCCGCGGUAAUACGGAGGGAGCUAGCGUUGUUCGGAAUUACUGGGCGUAAAGCGCACGUAGGCGGUUAUUCAAGUCAGAGGUGAAAGCCCGGGGCUCAACCCCGGAACUGCCUUUGAAACUAGAUGACUGGAAUCUUGGAGAGGUCAGUGGAAUUCCGAGUGUAGAGGUGAAAUUCGUAGAUAUUCGGAAGAACACCAGUGGCGAAGGCGACUGACUGGACAAGUAUUGACGCUGAGGUGCGAAAGCGUGGGGAGCAAACAGGAUUCGAUACCCUGGUAGUCCACGCCGUAAACGAUGAUAACUAGCUGUCCGGGUACUUGGUAUUUGGGUGGCGCAGCUAACGCAUUAAGUUAUCCGCCUGGGGAGUACGGUCGCAAGAUUAAAACUCAAAGGAAUUGACGGGGGCCUGCACAAGCGGUGGAGCAUGUGGUUU